Long non-coding RNA from Gadus macrocephalus (Pacific cod), 1006 nucleotides. RefSeq lists it as uncharacterized. Lineage: Eukaryota; Metazoa; Chordata; Actinopteri; Gadiformes; Gadidae. The record is from RefSeq and is a predicted model, not a curated record. The transcript has 2 exons.
CCUGUGUGAAGUUGGCCCCCCGUCUCAUUCAAAAUAUUUAAAUAACACUGCUGUUCGUUUGUGCUAGGUUUGUGCUGGUUUGUGCCGUAAAAAUUAUCGUUUGUGCUGGUAAGGAUUUUGAGUAAUUCAAAAUUGCUGCAUGUGACGUCACCCACCCCCCCGUUCACGCCCAAAUCUCAUCAAAAUAGUCCCAAUCGUUAGUGCUACGUUUGUGCUGGUUUGUGCCGUCAAAAGAAAUAGUUUUGCUAUUAUGUUUUCUUAGUUGUUCCCGUUUGAUUUUUCACACAUGACGUCACUCAGCCCCCCGUCCUCCUUCAAAUCGCGUCAAAAUGGUCUCUAUCGUUAGUGCUACGUUUGUGCUGGUUUGUGCAGUCAAAAGAAAUAUUUGUGCAACUAGUUUAAAAGGUAUUCCAGGUAGAUUUUUCUCACGUGACGUCACUCAGCCCCCCCUCCAUCUUCAAAUCGCGUCAAAAUUGUCUCUAUGUUUAGUGCUACGUUAGUGCUGGUUUGUGCUGUUAAAAUAAAUGUUUUUGAUACUUUACUUUUUAAGUAAUUAAUCCAACUUUAUUUUCCCUUCUUGUUAUGUAAACAGUCCACUUGUUAUGCAACCAUCACCCCUAGAACGCUCAAAUCGUGUCAAAAUGGUCUCUAUCGUUAGUGCUACGUUUGUGCUGGUUUGUGCAGUCAAAAGAAAUGUUUGUGCCCAUAGGCUUUAAAAGAUAUUCCAGUUUGAUUUUUCUCACGUGAUGUAACUCAGCCCCCCUGUGCAUCUUCAAAUCGCGUCAAAAUGGUCUCUAUCGUUUGUGCCAGGUUUGUGCUGUCUUGUAUUCUUGUUACUCGUUGCGUUCUCGUCAUUUCAGGUUGUGUUCAUUGUAUUUCUCCGUGCUACGUAUGUUCAUUGUUUAUUCGUGUUUCUGACCUCGGACUGAACCUGUGUGCCCUAUUUGGAUUAUGUUUGCUUACCUGUGUACCGUAUCCUGCCAGUAAACGUUUGUUCUUUAUUCAA